UUAAAAUUUUUAUUCAAGAGCAUUCAAUCUUCUGCUUGAGAAAUAAAAGAACAUUAAUUGAGCAAACAUGCUCUGUCCCAAGACCCUAUUUUUUCCAAGAUUUUGAAAGAAAAUAUUUUUUACAGUUGUUAUGAUGAUGGAGUUUUGCACAAUUUUGGAAUUUUAAUUCCAAAAAAUUUGCCCCGACUGGUUUAAAAUUGAGAUAUCUAGUUUUUGCUCAUACUUGAUUAUUUGAGAACAUUUAAUCUUGGCUAAAUAAAAAAGAAUCUUCAAUCUUCUGUUUCAAAAAAAGAUAGCUCCUAAAGGGCAUCGAUGGAUAUAAUUUGUUUCACAAAUUUUGGAAGGGAUGGAGUUUUUAUCUCAUUCUUGAAUUAUUCAAGAGCAUUCAAUCUUCUGCUGGAGAAAUAAAGAACAUUAAUUGAGCAAACAUGCUCUGUCCCAAGACCCUAUUUGUUUCUAAAAUUUUGAAAGAAAAAUACUUUUUACUGUUGGUAUGAUGAUGAUGGAGUUUUUAUCUCAUUCUUGAAUUAUUCAAGAGCAUUCAAUCUUCUGCUGGAGAAAUAAAGAACAUUAAUUGAGCAAACAUGCUCUGUCCCAAGACCCUAUUUGUUUCUAAAAUUUUGAAAGAAAAAUACUUUUUACUGUUGGUAUGAUGAUGAUGGAGUUUUUAUCUCAUUCUUGAAUUAUUCAAGAGCAUUCAAUCUUCUGCAUGAGAAAUAAAAGAACAUUAAUUGAGCAAACAUGCUCUGUCCCAAGACCCUAUUUGUUUCCAAGAUUUUGAAAGAAUUUUCUUUUACAGUUGUUAUGAUGAUGGAGUUUUGCACAAUUUUGGAAUUUUAAUUCCAAAAAAUUUUCCCCGACAGGUUUAAAAUUGAGAUAUCUAUUUUUUUCUCAUACUUGAUUAUUUGAGAACCUUGAAUCUUGGCUAAAUAAAAAAGAAUCUUCAAUCUUCUGUUUCAAAAAAAGAUAGCUCCUAAAGGGCAUCUAUGGAUAUAAUUUGUUUCACAAAUUUUGAAAGGGACGGAUGUCUUAUGAACUCUUUAUUCAUAAUGUAAGGAAUCCAAGUUUGGUUGGUGAAUGGAUAAGUGAAAUGAAAUGUAUUUUUUUCUUUCAUUAUCUAAAAAUGGGGUGGUAUACAUGAACUUAAUUACUCCAAAUUCGACUGCAAGUUGGAUAUACUUUGUUGCAUGAUUUCUGUAAGGGAUUGAAUGUCUUUAUGCCCCAAAAAUGAUAGAUGUUACCUUAAUGUGAAAGCUAGUUGUUGCUGUCUUAAAGCAUGGAUAGAUAAUUUGAUAUCUUGAACUUUAAUGACUCUAGUCCCUUUGCAACUGUAACCUGACGUGAUUUUGCAGAUAAAUACUGUAUGAGUUGUGACCACUAUUUGGGGGAUUCAACAAUUAACUUUUUUCUUAGUGCACAUUUUAAUUGGUUGUAGGCUCGAUCUUAACUCUUAUGACAGUUAUAUUUCUUGUGUUAUCUAGCUAGUUGGUUUUGAAGGAGUAGUAGAGUUUGCUGUUUGGAUUUUUGAUUGUGCUGCUGUUCGUUUGUUGCUGAGACCAAAGGGAAUGUUUUGUUUAAUGAAAUGGCAUGCCUCAAAUCUUAAUUGCCAAAAUGAUUAAUUUGUAUUAAUGUUUAAUAGGUUAUAAUUAACUUUGAUAGUUAGCAAUUGCCAUGGAAGUAGAUUGAGGAUCAGAUAUUUUCUCAGUUUUUAUUUGAAUUGGAUAGUUAGUAAUUGCCAUGGAAGUAGAUUGAGGAUCAGAUAUUUUCUCUGUUUUUUAUUUGAAUUGGAUGUCAAAUCCUGGAUUUUGGAAAGGGUUUUCAUCAUUAUGGAUUUUUGUCUUGUGAAGCACAAAACAAAAAUGGCAGUACUUGUGAAAUGGGCCUAUGCUUUGAGCAAUUCUCAUUUGAUUAUGUGAGUAUAUACGCAGUGUUUAAAAAGAUACAUACAACUAAUUAAAAGCCUCUUUUUUACAGGACAACUGCUUAAAAGCUGAAGAUAAUAUUAAUAUGACUUCAGCCUAAUUUGUUACAGACUUAUGAGCAAGUGGAAUUACAAUUACCUUUGUGGUUGUGGGUGUAAUGCUAAGUAGUAAUUGGCUGCAUAUUCUGAACCCAAUUUCUGAAUUUGAUAAUUUCUAGCUGUUAAGGGUUUAAAUGUAUUAUUAGCAUGAAUGUCGCAUACCAGCAUCCUUAGCAGCAGCCAAACACCUUAAUAACACCCCUCCAACCACAAACAAAAACACCCCAUAACUAUUCCCUACAAAUUACAAUCACAUUAUUAACUUCCAGUUGCUUAAGACAUCACAAUGCAGCGAAGUUUUCCAGGCCAUACAAUCUGAGACCAGAUUUGGCCUAACCACCUGAGCAACACACGACAGAAAACACAGCACCAGAAGAUGCUGUAAGGUAUUGUUGGCAAUAUUAUAGAAGUAGAAUUAGAUGAGACCAGGUGAAGAAAGAGAAGGAUAACUCUAGCCUUCUAUCUUCUAACAACUCAGCUGAUUAGAUGCAAGUCUUGAAUUUAGUGACUGAAUACAAGUGAGCUCUUAUAAGUUAUAAGUAGGUACAUACAACAAUUGCAAUUUGAGAAUUGAUCAUGUAAGUGUUACAGCCUCCCGAUUAUGCAAUAUAUUAACUUGUUGUGAUGACAGUUCUUUUGGACAAUUAUUCCUAUGUAGCAUAAAUGUUUCUUGCAUAUGUACAUUCUGGUAUUCA
Long non-coding RNA from Cicer arietinum (chickpea), 2715 nucleotides. RefSeq lists it as uncharacterized. Lineage: Eukaryota; Viridiplantae; Streptophyta; Magnoliopsida; Fabales; Fabaceae. The record is from RefSeq and is a predicted model, not a curated record.